AUCGGACAUUAUCUUGUCCUUACUGCCUGCUUGACACCAAGAACUCAAGGCAAGUACAGCACUUUUAUUUGUGUAAAGAGGUAGACUAAGAUAAAAACUUAGUAAAAUUAAAGCAGUUGUUGAUUUCUUUUUUCAAUCAGAAAAUGGUGAUCCGUAAACUGUUGGUGGUCUUUGCUCUGGUGACUCUAAUCAAUGCAGCACCGACACAAAACAGUGCUACACAAAAUGAAGAUCACUCCAGUCAGCAUGAUGAAGUCACUCAAGAAUUUUGGAAGCGUGUCUUUAAGAUUGCUGACCAUGUGUUAGGACAGCUUAGAAAUUCAGAAAAUGAUGAAGCAGCUCAAGAGUUUUCGAAAAGUAUUCAAGACAUUAGUAAAUAUGUAUUAGAACAUGACGAAAACAUCUUGGGACACCUGGCCAAUUCAGAGAAAGAUGAAGCCACUCAAGAGUUCUGGAAACAUCUAUUCAAGAUUGGCAGUCACAUCUUGGGACACCUGGUCAAUUCAGAGAAAGAUGAAGCCACUCAAGAGUUCUGGAAACAUCUAUUAAAAAUUGGUGGACACAUCUUGGGACACCUGCUCAAUUCAGAGAAAGAUGAGGCCACUCAAGAGUUCUGGAAACAUCUAUUAAAGAUUGGCAGUCACAUCUUGGGACACCUGGCCAAUUCAGAGAAAGAUGAAGCCACUCAAGAGUUCUGGAAACAUCUAUUCAAGAUUGGCAGUCACAUCUUGGGACACCUGGUCAAUUCAGAGAAAGAUGAAGCCACUCAAGAGUUCUGGAAACAUCUAUUAAAAAUUGGUGGACACAUCUUGGGACACCUGCUCAAUUCAGAGAAAGAUGAGGCCACUCAAGAGUUCUGGAAACAUCUAUUAAAGAUUGGCGGACACAUCUUGGGACACCUGCUCAAUUCAGAAAAAGAUGAGGCCACUCAAGAAUUCUGGAAACAUCUAUUCAAGAUUGGCAGUCACAUCUUGGGACACCUGGUCAAUUCAGAGAAAGAUGAAGCCACUCAAGAGUUCUGGAAACAUCUAUUCAAGAUUGGCAGUCACAUCUUGGGACACCUGGUCAAUUCAGAGAAAGAUGAAGCCACUCAAGAGUUCUGGAAACAUCUAUUAAAAAUUGGUGGACACAUCUUGGGACACCUGGUCAAUUCAGAGAAAGAUGAAGCCACUCAAGAGUUCUGGAAACAUCUAUUCAAGAUUGGCAGUCACAUCUUGGGACACCUGGUCAAUUCAGAGAAAGAUGAAGCCACUCAAGAGUUCUGGAAACAUCUAUUCAAGAUUGGCAGUCACAUCUUGGGACACCUGGUCAAUUCAGAGAAAGAUGAAGCCACUCAAGAGUUCUGGAAACAUCUAUUAAAAAUUGGUGGACACAUCUUGGGACACCUGGUCAAUUCAGAGAAAGAUGAAGCCACUCAAGAGUUCUGGAAACAUCUAUUUAAGAUUGGCAGUCACAUCUUGGGACACCUGGUCAAUUCAGAGAAAGAUGAAGCCACUCAAGAGUUCUGGAAACAUCUAUUAAAAAUUGGCAGUCACAUCUUGGGACACCUGGUCAAUUCAGAGAAAGAUGAAGCCACUCAAGAGUUCUGGAAACAUCUAUUCAAGAUUGGCAGUCACAUCUUGGGACACCUGGUCAAUUCAGAGAAAGAUGAAGCCACUCAAGAGUUCUGGAAACAUCUAUUCAAGAUUGGCAGUCACAUCUUGGGACACCUGGUCAAUUCAGAGAAAGAUGAAGCCACUCAAGAGUUUUGGAAACAUCUAUUCAAGAUUGGCAGUCACAUCUUGGGACACCUGGUCAAUUCAGAGAAAGAUGAAGCCACUCAAGAGUUCUGGAAACAUCUAUUCAAGAUUGGCAGUCACAUCUUGGGACACCUGGUCAAUUCAGAGAAAGAUGAAGCCACUCAAGAGUUUUGGAAACAUCUAUUCAAGAUUGGCAGUCACAUCUUGGGACACCUGGUCAAUUCAGAGAAAGAUGAAGCCACUCAAGAGUUCUGGAAACAUCUAUUAAAGAUUGGCAGUCACAUCUUGGGACACCUGGUCAAUUCAGAGAAAGAUGAAGCCACUCAAGAGUUUUGGAAACAUCUAUUCAAGAUUGGCAGUCACAUCUUGGGACACCUGGUCAAUUCAGAGAAAGAUGAAGCCACUCAAGAGUUCUGGAAACAUCUAUUCAAGAUUGGCAGUCACAUCUUGGGACACCUGGUCAAUUCAGAGAAAGAUGAAGCCACUCAAGAGUUUUGGAAACAUCUAUUCAAGAUUGGCAGUCACAUCUUGGGACACCUGGUAAAUUCAGAGAAAGAUGAAGCCACUCAAGAGUUCUGGAAACAUCUAUUCAAGAUUGGCAGUCACAUCUUGGGACACCUGGUCAAUUCAGAGAAAGAUGAAGCCACUCAAGAGUUUUGGAAACAUCUAUUCAAGAUUGGCAGUCACAUCUUGGGACACCUGGUCAAUUCAGAGAAAGAUGAAGCCACUCAAGAGUUUUGGAAACAUCUAUUCAAGAUUGGCAGUCACAUCUUGGGACACCUGGUAAAUUCAGAGAAAGAUGAGGCCACUCAAGAGUUCUGGAAACAUCUAUUAAAGAUUGGCGGACACAUCUUGGGACACCUGGUCAAUUCAGAGAAAGAUGAAGCCACUCAAAAUAAUGGAAUGCAUCACUACAUUCUUCAUAAAGAUUAAUACAAGGAACAGUACACAAGUGCAUAUUUUUUUGCAGCAUCAUAGAGAUAAUCAUGACCAUCUUGGCUGUCAAGAAAAUCAUCAGCUUGCUCCUUAAUCCAAUGGUAAUAAGAUUGUUAAUUCUGAAAUGAAAAUAAAAAACAAAAUAAAAAUGCUUAUCA
Gouania willdenowi (blunt-snouted clingfish) is the source of this 2833-nucleotide long non-coding RNA. Ensembl lists it as uncharacterized. Lineage: Eukaryota; Metazoa; Chordata; Actinopteri; Blenniiformes; Gobiesocidae. The record is from Ensembl.